RNAcentral lists this ribosomal RNA (432 nucleotides) under uncultured bacterium. RNAcentral's name for it is "partial 16S ribosomal RNA". It matches the Rfam family "Bacterial small subunit ribosomal RNA", at positions 29 to 506 of the family's 1533-position model. The record is from RNAcentral.
AACGAACGCUGGCGGCAUGCCUAACACAUGCAAGUCGAACGAGACCUUCGGGUCUAGUGGCGCACGGGUGCGUAACGCGUGGGAACCUGCCCUUAGGUUCGGAAUAACUCCCCGAAAGGGGUGCUAAUACCGGAUAAUGUCUUCGGACCAAAGAUUUAUCGCCUUUGGAUGGGCCCGCGUUGGAUUAGCUAGUUGGUAGGGUAAAAGCCUACCAAGGCGACGAUCCAUAGCUGGUCUGAGAGGAUGAUCAGCCACACUGGGACUGAGACACGGCCCAGACUCCUACGGGAGGCAGCAGUGGGGAAUAUUGGAAAAUGGGCGAAAGCCUGACCCAGCAAUGCCGGGUGAGUGAUGAAGGCCUUAGGUUUGUAAAGCUCUUUUACCCGGGAUGAUAAUGACAGUACCGGGAGAAUAAGCCCCGGCUAACUCCGU